AGUGAACGCUGGCGGUAGGCCUAACACAUGCAAGUCGAACGGCAGCACAGUAAGAGCUUGCUCUUACGGGUGGCGAGUGGCGGACGGGUGAGGAAUACAUCGGAAUCUACUUUUUCGUGGGGGAUAACGUAGGGAAACUUACGCUAAUACCGCAUACGACCUACGGGUGAAAGCAGGGGAUCUUCGGACCUUGCGCGAUUGAAUGAGCCGAUGUCGGAUUAGCUAGUUGGCGGGGUAAAGGCCCACCAAGGCGACGAUCCGUAGCUGGUCUGAGAGGAUGAUCAGCCACACUGGAACUGAGACACGGUCCAGACUCCUACGGGAGGCAGUAGUGGGGAAUAUUGGACAAUGGGCGCAGGCCUGAUCCAGCCAUACCGCGUGGGUGAAGAAGGCCUUCGGGUUGUAAAGCCCUUUUGUUGGGAAAGAAAAGCAGCAGGUUAAUACCCCGCUGUUCUGACGGUACCCAAAGAAUAAGCACCGGCUAACUUCGU
RNAcentral lists this ribosomal RNA (491 nucleotides) under uncultured bacterium. RNAcentral's name for it is "partial 16S ribosomal RNA". It matches the Rfam family "Bacterial small subunit ribosomal RNA", at positions 29 to 506 of the family's 1533-position model. The record is from RNAcentral.